Molecule: ribosomal RNA, 497 nt
Filed under: uncultured bacterium
Lineage: Bacteria
Description: partial 16S ribosomal RNA
Rfam family: Bacterial small subunit ribosomal RNA
Source: RNAcentral
GAUGAACGCUGGCGGCGUGCCUAAUACAUGCAAGUCGAGCGAACAGACGAGGAGCUUGCUCCUCUGACGUUAGCGGCGGACGGGUGAGUAACACGUGGAUAACCUACCUAUAAGACUGGGAUAACUUCGGGAAACCGGAGCUAAUACCGGAUAAUAUAUUGAACCGCAUGGUUCAAUAGUGAAAGACGGUUUUGCUGUCACUUAUAGCUGGAUCCGCGCCGCAUUAGCUAGUUGGUAAGGUAACGGCUUACCAAGGCAACGAUGCGUAGCCGACCUGAGAGGGGGAUCGGCCACACUGGAGCGGAAACACGGUCCAGACUCCUACGGGAGGCAGCAGUAGGGAAUCUUACGCAAAGGGCGAAAGCCUGACGGAGCAACGCCGCGUGAGUGAUGAAGGUCUUCGGAUCGUAAAACUCUGUUAUUAGGGAAGAACAAAUGUGUAAGUAACUAUGCACGUCUUGACGGUACCUAAUCAGAAAGCCACGGCUAACUACGUG